Molecule: long non-coding RNA, 333 nt
Filed under: Elaeis guineensis (African oil palm)
Lineage: Eukaryota; Viridiplantae; Streptophyta; Magnoliopsida; Arecales; Arecaceae
Description: long non-coding RNA (EGUI_LNC052061)
Source: RNAcentral
UCGCUAUCCUCUGAGAUUGAGUCAACUAACUUUCUGACUGAGUCGAUAAGACCUUGUCUUGAUCGACUCACCAGAUUUUGGAUCGACUAAGCCUCCUGACAUUCAAAAUAUGGCUUUCUAUCUUUUACUUUCAUUAAGACAUGGUCAGCUCAGAUUUUUACUAGAUCGACUCAGCUGGCGUGCUAAGUGUAUCAUGAGUCUUUGACAGUCUUUCUUCUCCAAUUUGAUUUCUAGGCUAGACUUACCUUUUUAACUUGAUUUAAUCCUCAUUAAAAUUCUUUGCAAGAUGUCUCAAGUCUAGCAUUUCUUCAUUAAGUCUUGAGUGGUGGUUCU